CAAAACUGCCUGGCUAGAGGGCGACAGAGGGAGGUGGAAUUCCCGGUGUAGUGGUGAAAUGCGUAGAUAUCGGGAGGAACACCAGUGGCGAAGGCGGCCUCCUGGGUCGCACCUGACGCUCAGACGCGAAAGCUAGGGGAGCAAACGGGAUUAGAUACCCCGGUAGUCCUAGCUGUAAACGAUGUGGACUUGGCGUUGGUGGGGUCAAAUCCAUCAGUGCCGGAGCCAACGCGAUAAGUCCACCGCCUGGGGACUACGGUCGCAAGGCUAAAACUCAAAGGAAUUGGCGGGGGCCCGCACAAGCAGCGGAGCGUGUGGUUUAAUUCGAUCUACACGAAGAACCUUACCCGGGUUUGACAUCCAGGUGGUAGGGAACCGAAAGGCGACCGACCCUUCGGGGAGCCUGGACAGGUGCUGCAUGGCUGUCGUCAGCUCGUGUCGUGAGAUGUCCGGUUAAGUCCGGUAACGAGCGCAACCCUUGCUGUAUGUUAUACGUGUCAUACAGGACUGCCGGUUUAGUGCCGGAGGAAGGCGGGGAUGACGUCAAGUCAGCAUGGCCUUUAUAUCCGGGGCUACACACACGCUACAAUGGCCAGCACAACAGGUUGCAAAACCGCGAGGUGGAGCCAAUCCCCAAAGCUGGUCUCAGUUCAGAUUGCAGGCUGCAACUCGCCUGCAUGAAGUCGGAGUUGCUAGUAACCGCGCGUCAGCUAUAGUGCGGUGAAUACGUUCUCGGGCCUUGCACACACCGCCCGUCACGUCAUGGAAGCUGGCAACACCUGAAGCCGGUAUCCUAACCGCAAGGAUGGAGCCGUCGAAGGUGGGGCUGGUGACUGGGACGAAGUCGUAACAAGGUAACC
RNAcentral lists this ribosomal RNA (860 nucleotides) under uncultured Chloroflexota bacterium. RNAcentral's name for it is "bacterial SSU rRNA". It matches the Rfam family "Bacterial small subunit ribosomal RNA", at positions 628 to 1501 of the family's 1533-position model. Lineage: Bacteria; Bacillati; Chloroflexota. The record is from RNAcentral.